CCUACGGGGGGCUGCAGUGGGGAAUAUUGGACAAUGGGGGCAACCCUGAUCCAGCAAUGCCGCGUGUGUGAAGAAGGCCUGAGGGUUGUAAAGCACUUUCAGUGGGGAGGAGGGUGAUUUGGUUAAGAGCUGAGUUAUUGGACGUUACCCACAGAAGAAGCACCGGCUAACUCCGUGCCAGCAGCCGCGGUAAUACGGAGGGUGCGAGCGUUAAUCGGAAUUACUGGGCGUAAAGCGUGCGUAGGUGGUUGAAUAAGUUAUCUGUGAAAUUCCUGGGCUUAACCUAGGGUGGUCAGAUGAUACUGUUUAACUCGAGUAUGGGAGAGGGUAGUGGAAUUUCCGGUGUAGCGGUGAAAUGCGUAGAGAUCGGAAGGAACACCAGUGGCGAAGGCGGCUACCUGGCCUAAUACUGACACUGAGGCACGAAAGCGUGGGGAGCAAACAGGAUUAGAUACCCCUGUAGUCA
Molecule: ribosomal RNA, 466 nt
Filed under: uncultured bacterium
Lineage: Bacteria
Description: bacterial SSU rRNA
Rfam family: Bacterial small subunit ribosomal RNA
Source: RNAcentral